UACGGGGGGGGCAAGCGUUGUUCGGAAUUACUGGGCGUAAAGGGGUCGUAGGUGGCCAACUAAGUCAGACGUGAAAUCCCUCAGCUUAACUGGGGAACUGCGUCUGAUACUGGAUGGCUUGAGUUUGGGAGAGGGAUGCGGAAUUCCAGGUGUAGCGGUGAAAUGCGUAGAUAUCUGGAGGAACACCGGUGGCGAAGGCGGCAUCCUGGACCAACACUGACACUGAGGAGCGAAAGCCAGGGGAGCAAACGGG
RNAcentral lists this ribosomal RNA (253 nucleotides) under uncultured bacterium. RNAcentral's name for it is "partial 16S ribosomal RNA". It matches the Rfam family "Bacterial small subunit ribosomal RNA", at positions 524 to 776 of the family's 1533-position model. The record is from RNAcentral.